UUCAUUUCUAUCAAAAAAACGUCUUACUAACCAAAAUCAAACUACAUCCAAACUUCUUCAAUAACUUCAGACAAGUCUACCGAACUUUGAGUCAAGUUUUUACCUCCCUGUCUUCUGUUUUAACCCCUUCUGUGCUGGAGGAAGACAGUGCAGGAACAUGUCCCGUCAUGUCAGAGCUGUGCUUUACAACCAGCCUGCACCAGAGCCGUGCUUCGCAGGAGGGCGGGGGUUUCGGGGCAAGACCACACUAACUUCAGCUCAACUGACCAACCACAGAGCUCUGCUGGGUGAGUCACCGCGGAAACACGGAUGCCAUUGGCUCGUCAAACUCAGUGACUGACUCCAGACUUCGAAAUUCAGCGAAUCGCCACAAUGAAUGAGAUUCCACAUGAACGCCACCAGAAGAGAUACCAAAGAAUGGAUUUUAAACACGUUGUAACGAUCUAAGACAAGUUUUCAGGCGCACACUCUUUCACAUCAAACACAGAAAUCAAUAAAAAGGAAAAAGAAAAAGCCUUUCUGGGAUUUAAGAACUUCCUCUGAGAGAUGACUUACAGUCGAGGUCACAGACUUGGCUGUGCCAGACUUUUGAAAUUGAAGCCGGAAGUCGUAAUCUCCAGGAUAGUCGCUUGUAACCGGGACAGUGGAGGCUGGGGGUGUAAUGCCGUCCUUGCUGGACAUAUCCGGGAGGUUGAAGAGGUUUUCAUCGAACUCCUCUGGAAAAGGCUGCUCAUUCAACAGCUGGAACAGAGAGAAAUAAAAGAGUCACUCUGCGUCCAUAACCGAAUAAGUUCAGACUGAGAUCAAACUGUAUGUAUGUAUAUAUGUAAAAGUAUAUGUAUGAAGCAUUCAGGGCAUUGAUAGGAGUGCUUACCAGGAGCCCCCCUGUCUGCCAUGUUUCCUGAGGGUUGUCCGUUGGCAUGGAGAUGGAGGAACUGACUCUGCAAACACAAAUAAACAGGUUAACCUGCGUCUCAGUCUCUCUCUGUCGAGGGACUACAUUUUAAAAGGUAUCACAACACAACUUACACAUUCUCCCACAGCUGUCUGAAUGAGUCCUGGCUCAGGGGCAGGGGCUGACUCAGAGUCAGGUUUUCCAGGCUCUGCUCCUCCAUCGCUCCGUUUCCAGCUGAAGCGCGGAAGAGACGAGCUGCAGGCGUGCUGGGAGGACUGUGGCGAUCAGCAGGAAGGACAAUGAGGGAGGUCAGAGGUCAACUUUGAAGCGGAGACCCUGGAGUGACAGGCUGACAGGGUGGAUUCCCCCUGUACUGGUUUGGAUAUACUUACAUGCUGAAGGACGCAAACCACAGAGGACCAGAGAUUCAGAUAUUCUCAGGUGCUUGCGGCCAGGUCAGGCCAGACAGCCUCACUGCUUGCAUCUUGUCCUGAACUGGUGGGAGUCAGAUCAAAAGACUAGGCGUUGAAUGUUGGUUAUGUCUGUCUCCCUGGGUACGUAGUGCUUGUUGGUGCCACAUUGGGGCUUGGUGGCUGUCUGACCUUUGAGUGAAUGUGGCGACGGUGCCAGUGAGUCCACUACAAACCUGAUCCCUGUGGUACUGCAUAUAGAUAAAAUACUGAGGUUUUACAGAACAGGAACGGAGGGGAAGAUAACUGGCAUGAUGAGUAACAGUUGGCUAAUAUGAUCUUAAGCACAUUUUAUAUUUCCUUGAAGAGCAUAUGAUAAGCCUAGACCAACUGGCUACAUAUUCUAAAUAAAAUGUAGGUAUA
Long non-coding RNA from Notolabrus celidotus (New Zealand spotty), 1728 nucleotides. RefSeq lists it as uncharacterized. NCBI's taxonomy places the organism in Eukaryota, Metazoa, Chordata, Actinopteri, Labriformes, Labridae. The record is from RefSeq and is a predicted model, not a curated record. The transcript is spliced from 4 exons.